This 465-nucleotide ribosomal RNA is filed under the name Vreelandella stevensii. RNAcentral describes it as "partial 16S ribosomal RNA". It matches the Rfam family "Bacterial small subunit ribosomal RNA", at positions 338 to 795 of the family's 1533-position model. The record is from RNAcentral. Lineage: Bacteria; Pseudomonadati; Pseudomonadota; Gammaproteobacteria; Oceanospirillales; Halomonadaceae.
CCUACGGGGCGCAGCAGUGGGGAAUAUUGGACAAUGGGCGAAAGCCUGAUCCAGCCAUGCCGCGUGUGUGAAGAAGGCCUUCGGGUUGUAAAGCACUUUCAGUGGGGAAGAAAGCCUUGGGGCUAAUACCCUCGAGGAAGGACAUCACCCACAGAAGAAGCACCGGCUAACUCCGUGCCAGCAGCCGCGGUAAUACGGAGGGUGCGAGCGUUAAUCGGAAUUACUGGGCGUAAAGCACGCGUAGGCGGUCUGAUAAGCCGGUUGUGAAAGCCCCGGGCUCAACCUGGGAACGGCAUCCGGAACUGUCAGGCUAGAGUGCAGGAGAGGAAGGUAGAAUUCCCGGUGUAGCGGUGAAAUGCGUAGAGAUCGGGAGGAAUACCAGUGGCGAAGGCGGCCUUCUGGACUGACACUGACGCUGAGGUGCGAAAGCGUGGGUAGCAAACAGGAUUAGAUACCCUUGUAGUC